Molecule: transfer RNA, 87 nt
Filed under: Rhodopirellula maiorica SM1
Lineage: Bacteria; Pseudomonadati; Planctomycetota; Planctomycetia; Pirellulales; Pirellulaceae
Also listed under: 2 other names
Rfam family: tRNA
About the family: Transfer RNA (tRNA) molecules are approximately 80 nucleotides in length. Their secondary structure includes four short double-helical elements and three loops (D, anti-codon, and T loops).
Source: Rfam by way of RNAcentral
GGAUGGGUGGCCGAGUGGUCGAAGGCAGCAGUCUUGAAAACUGCCGUAGGGGUAACUCUACCGUGGGUUCGAAUCCCACUCCAUCCG